CCUACGGGAGGCAGCAGUGGGGAAUAUUGCACAAUGGGGGAAACCCUGAAGCAGCGACGCCGCGUGAGUGAAGAAGUUUCUCGGUAUGUAAAGCCCUAUUAGUAGGGAAGAAAAUGACGGUACCUGACUAAUAAGCACCGGCUAACUACGUGCCAGCGGCCGCGGUAAUACGUAGGGGGCAAGCGUUAUCCGGAUUCACUGGGCGUAAAGGGAGCGUAGACGGCAGUGCAAGUCAGGAGUGAAAUCCCGGGGCUUAACCAUGGAACUGCUUUGGAAACUGUUAGGCUGGAGUGGAGGAGAGGUAGGUGGAAUUCGUGGUGUAGCGGUAAAAUGCGUAGAGAUGAAGAGGAACACCGAUUGCGAAGGCGGCUUGCUGGACCAUAACUGACGUUGAGGCUCGAAAGCGUGGGGAGCAAACAGGAUUAGAUACCCCAGUAGUC
This 440-nucleotide ribosomal RNA is filed under the name uncultured bacterium. RNAcentral's name for it is "partial 16S ribosomal RNA". It matches the Rfam family "Bacterial small subunit ribosomal RNA", at positions 338 to 795 of the family's 1533-position model. The record is from RNAcentral.